UCAUCAUGUCAACAGGAUGCCUAUUAAAC
This 29-nucleotide small RNA is filed under the name Bombyx mori (domestic silkworm). Its description in RNAcentral is "ovarian small RNA-26041". The record is from RNAcentral. Lineage: Eukaryota; Metazoa; Arthropoda; Insecta; Lepidoptera; Bombycidae.